UGUUGCCUCGGCGGGGUCACGCCCCGGGUGCGUCGCAGCCCCGGAACCAGGCGCCCGCCGGAGGGACCAACCAAACUCUUUUCUGUAGUCCCCUCGCGGACGUUAUUUCUUACAGCUCUGAGCAAAAAUUCAAAAUGAAUCAAAACUUUCAACAACGGAUCUCUUGGUUCUGGCAUCGAUGAAGAACGCAGCGAAAUGCGAUAAGUAAUGUGAAUUGCAGAAUUCAGUGAAUCAUCGAAUCUUUGAACGCACAUUGCGCCCGCCAGUAUUCUGGCGGGCAUGCCUGUCCGAGCGUCAUUUCAACCCUCGAACCCCUCCGGGGGGUCGGCGUUGGGGAUCGGGAACCCCUAAGACGGGAUCCCGGCCCCGAAAUACAGUGGCGGUCUCGCCGCAGCCUCUCCUGCGCAGUAGUUUGCACAACUCGCACCGGGAGCGCGGCGCGUCCACGUCCGUAAAACACCCAACUUCUGAAAUGUUGACCUCGGAUCAGGUAGGAAUACCCGCUGAACUUAAGCAUAUCAAUA
RNAcentral lists this ribosomal RNA (524 nucleotides) under Trichoderma gamsii. RNAcentral's name for it is "eukaryotic LSU rRNA". The stretch from base 144 to 297 matches the Rfam family "5.8S ribosomal RNA". The record is from RNAcentral. Lineage: Eukaryota; Fungi; Ascomycota; Sordariomycetes; Hypocreales; Hypocreaceae.